This 201-nucleotide ribosomal RNA is filed under the name uncultured bacterium. RNAcentral's name for it is "partial 16S ribosomal RNA". It matches the Rfam family "Bacterial small subunit ribosomal RNA", at positions 328 to 540 of the family's 1533-position model. The record is from RNAcentral.
ACGCUCGACACCUACGGGAGGCAGCAGUGGGGAAUAUUGCACAAUGGGGGAAACCCUGAUGCAGCGACGCCGCGUGAAGGAUGAAGUAUUUCGGUAUGUAAACUUUCUAUCAGCAGGGAAGAAAGUGACGGUACCUGACUAAGAAGCCCCGGCUAACUACGUGCCGGCAGCCGCGGUAAUCUGAGCCGGGCUGGCGAAGGC